UAUUAUGUGUUUACCAUAUGUGAGUUGCAUUAAAUUAUAUCGCUAGGGGCCCGUUGAAUGGGUCCAGGAUGGAAAGAUCCUUGGUAUGCCACAAUGCGAUAUUAUGUUAAAGUUAUGGUUGCAACCAGUCGCCAGGGGCCGGCUAAAUCGGUCCAGGACGGAAAGGUCCUUGGUUUUAAAGGCCGGAGGCGCGUGGAAGGUCGAAUGGCGAGUCAAAUGUUUUGUAUUUAUCUUUCUUUAAAGAUGUUAUUUUGAGUAAAAUACUUUAAACAAAAAUUUAUUUCACUAUUUUCUUGUUAAAUAUUUAUUUAUAGUCA
Salvia miltiorrhiza (redroot sage) is the source of this 317-nucleotide long non-coding RNA. RefSeq lists it as uncharacterized. The transcript has 2 exons. Lineage: Eukaryota; Viridiplantae; Streptophyta; Magnoliopsida; Lamiales; Lamiaceae. The record is from RefSeq and is a predicted model, not a curated record.